RNAcentral lists this ribosomal RNA (463 nucleotides) under uncultured Actinomycetes bacterium. Its description in RNAcentral is "bacterial SSU rRNA". It matches the Rfam family "Bacterial small subunit ribosomal RNA", at positions 28 to 508 of the family's 1533-position model. The record is from RNAcentral. Lineage: Bacteria; Bacillati; Actinomycetota; Actinomycetes.
GACGAACGCUGGCGGCGUGCUUAACACAUGCAAGUCGAACGAUGAACCACUUCGGUGGGGAUUAGUGGCGAACGGGUGAGUAACACGUGGGCAAUCUGCCCUUCACUCUGGGACAAGCCCUGGAAACGGGGUCUAAUACCGGAUACUGACCCUCGCAGGCAUCUGCGAGSUUCGAAAGCUCCGGCGGUGAAGGAUGAGCCCGCGGCCUAUCAGCUUGUUGGUGAGGUAAUGGCUCACCAAGGCGACGACGGGUAGCCGGCCUGAGAGGGCGACCGGCCACACUGGGACUKAGACACGGCCCAGACUCCUACGGGAGGCAGCAGUGGGGAAUAUUGCACAAUGGGCGAAAGCUGAUGCAGCGACGCCGCGUGAGGGAUGACGGCCUUCGGGUUGUAAACCUCUUUCAGCAGGGAAGAAGCGAAAGUGACGGUACCUGCAGAAGAAGCGCCGGCUAACUACGUGC